This 105-nucleotide small nuclear RNA is filed under the name Oryza sativa Japonica Group (Japanese rice). The record is from RNAcentral. Lineage: Eukaryota; Viridiplantae; Streptophyta; Magnoliopsida; Poales; Poaceae.
AUUAUUAAGCAUAAGAAAAGCUAUCAUUCGAAAGGGUAAAAACAAAAAAAAAACCCUCCCAGCCAUUGGCCAACACUCUGCACCUGAAUUUCUGUGUACAUUUUU